CACGUAGGCGGUUGGGUAAGCCUCUUGGGAAAGCUCCCGGCUUAACCGGGAAAGGUCGAGGGGAACUACUUAGCUAGAGGACGGGAGAGGAGCGCGGAAUUCCCGGUGUAGCGGUGAAAUGCGUAGAUAUCGGGAAGAAGGCCGGUGGCGAAGGCGGCGCUCUGGAACGUACCUGACGCUGAGGUGCGAAAGCGUGGGGAGCAAACA
Molecule: ribosomal RNA, 207 nt
Filed under: uncultured bacterium
Lineage: Bacteria
Description: partial 16S ribosomal RNA
Rfam family: Bacterial small subunit ribosomal RNA
Source: RNAcentral